GGAGGAGGAAAUAAAUAAAUAAAACAAUCACCUCCGCGCCAAUAAGAGCGAGGGAGAGAGCAAGACGCGACCAGAGAGCCACCGGGGCCCGCUCGCGCGAGAGCUCCACCCCAGAGAAACGUGCAGAGCCGCUGUCAAUGGGAUGUUCAGUCAGGGCGGCUGCAGCGUCCGCCCAAGCUGAAGGCCCUACUUGGGGGUUGGGGGCUCACAUGGAAGAGUAAAGUCAGGCAAUUACAUGACCACUUAAACCUGCUUUAUAAAUGUUGAGAACUGUCUAUGGCACAUAGUGUAUUAGGAAGCAUCCAGCACAGGAGGAUGAUGUAGGCUGGGAGGCUAGACCCAUCUCACCUUUUUCAUGUCUUUCUGCUUGCUUUAUAUUCACUGGAAGCUGAUUAGAUUGUGCCCAUCAGACUAAGAGUGGAUCUGCCCUCCCCAGCCCACUGACUCAAAUGUUAAUCUCUUUUGGUCAACACCCACACGGACACACUCAGGGUUAGUACUUUGUGUCCCUCAAUCCAAUCAAGUUGACACUCAGUAUUAACCAUCACAGUGAGCACUUGAUAAAUUUUAGCUAUUUUCUUAUAUUGUAAUUA
RNAcentral lists this long non-coding RNA (593 nucleotides) under Homo sapiens (human). RNAcentral describes it as "HSALNT0081480". Lineage: Eukaryota; Metazoa; Chordata; Mammalia; Primates; Hominidae. The record is from RNAcentral.